RNAcentral lists this ribosomal RNA (263 nucleotides) under Escherichia coli. RNAcentral describes it as "partial 16S ribosomal RNA". It matches the Rfam family "Bacterial small subunit ribosomal RNA", at positions 1 to 260 of the family's 1533-position model. Lineage: Bacteria; Pseudomonadati; Pseudomonadota; Gammaproteobacteria; Enterobacterales; Enterobacteriaceae. RNAcentral also lists the same sequence under 1 other name. The record is from RNAcentral.
AAAUUGAAGAGUUUGAUCAUGGCUCAGAUUGAACGCUGGCGGCAGGCCUAACACAUGCAAGUCGAACGGUAACAGGAAGCAGCUUGCUGCUUUGCUGACGAGUGGCGGACGGGUGAGUAAUGUCUGGGAAACUGCCUGAUGGAGGGGGAUAACUACUGGAAACGGUAGCUAAUACCGCAUAACGUCGCAAGACCAAAGAGGGGGACCUUAGGGCCUCUUGCCAUCGGAUGUGCCCAGAUGGGAUUAGCUAGUAGGUGGGGUAA